CCAAAACUUGAAGUUCCUCAAGCAUCUAGUACGUGUUUGAAACAUAGGAAAGCCACACGUCAAUUUUGAAGUCAUUAUCUUCAUCUUCAUCAGCAUAUUCAUCAGUUUUAUUCCUUUCUUUGCUAAGUAACUGAAAGCUUGGAUAAAGGACUUGCAUAAACUAGGUGACACAGGUCAGAUACCUUAUGUUAAAAGCCUCUUUGAG
This 205-nucleotide unclassified non-coding RNA is filed under the name Hevea brasiliensis (rubber tree). Lineage: Eukaryota; Viridiplantae; Streptophyta; Magnoliopsida; Malpighiales; Euphorbiaceae. The record is from RNAcentral.